This 247-nucleotide ribosomal RNA is filed under the name uncultured bacterium. RNAcentral describes it as "partial 16S ribosomal RNA". It matches the Rfam family "Bacterial small subunit ribosomal RNA", at positions 77 to 334 of the family's 1533-position model. The record is from RNAcentral.
CUUGCUAGAGAUGAUUAGUGGCGGACGGGUGAGUAACAUUUAGGAAUCUACCUAGUAGUGGGGGAUAGCUCGGGGAAACUCGAAUUAAUACCGCAUACGACCUACGGGUGAAAGGGGGCGCAAGCUCUUGCUAUUAGAUGAGCCUAAAUCAGAUUAGCUAGUUGGUGGGGUAAAGGCCCACCAAGGCGACGAUCUGUAACUGGUCUGAGAGGAUGAUCAGUCACACCGGAACUGAGACACGGUCCGG